CUUGAAGUUGCAGUUGAUGUAUAUGAUGUAUACAAGCUCUAUUGAUUAAUAACCAAAACCAUAUAGUAACAUGAUUGAACUAGCUAGUUGUUGAAGUUGUUGACUCUUUUGCUUGGUCCAGAAGAUGGAACUUUCCCUUUAGGGAGCAUGUUCAAUAUCAAUGGCAUAUAUUUGCCACUGUUGGGAAGUGCAAUGUUUAAGGUUGUCUUAGUGGCUGCAUGACUAAUGUCACCAUUCAAGAGCCUUGCAGAUGAAGAAGAUAUUAGAAACAGAAACAAUAGAAGUAAGAGUGCAUGUUGGUGGUUGUAGUUUGUCAUUUUGUAAUGAGAAAGAGAAGAUUGAGAAUUUGAGAGUAUUAUGGAAAAGAUUUUAUGUCGGUAAUGUUUGAUUUGUGGGAUGAGAUGUGAGAUUGAUUUGGUGAACAUGUUUAUAUAUGGAAGUAGAGUGGGAAUGGGAG
RNAcentral lists this long non-coding RNA (457 nucleotides) under Lupinus angustifolius (narrow-leaved blue lupine). RNAcentral's name for it is "long non-coding RNA (LANG_LNC002228)". Lineage: Eukaryota; Viridiplantae; Streptophyta; Magnoliopsida; Fabales; Fabaceae. The record is from RNAcentral.